Molecule: ribosomal RNA, 492 nt
Filed under: uncultured bacterium
Lineage: Bacteria
Description: partial 16S ribosomal RNA
Rfam family: Bacterial small subunit ribosomal RNA
Source: RNAcentral
AGUGAACGCUGGCGGUAGGCCUAACACAUGCAAGUCGAACGGCAGCACAGUAAGAGCUUGCUCUUACGGGUGGCGAGUGGCGGACGGGUGAGGAAUACAUCGGAAUCUACUUUUUCGUGGGGGAUAACGUAGGGAAACUUACGCUAAUACCGCAUACGACCUACGGGUGAAAGCAGGGGAUCUUCGGACCUUGCGCGAUUGAAUGAGCCGAUGUCGGAUUAGCUAGUUGGCGGGGUAAAGGCCCACCAAGGCGACGAUCCGUAGCUGGUCUGAGAGGAUGAUCAGCCACACUGGAACAGAGACAAGGUCCAGACUCCUACGGGAGGCAGCAGUGGGGAAUAUUGGACAAUGGGCGCAAGCCUGAUCCAGCUAUACCGCGUGGGUGAAGAAGGCCUUCGGGUUGUAAAGUCCUUUUGUGGGGAAAGAAAAGCAGCAGGUUAAUACCCCGCUGUUCUGACGGUACCCAAAGAAUAAGCACCGGCUAACUUCGUG